UACAGAGGGUGCUAGCGUUGUUCGGAAUUACUGGGCGUAAAGGGCUCGUAGGCGGCCAACUAAGUCAUACGUGAAAUCCCCAGGCUCAACCUGGGAACUGCGUCUGAUACUGGUUGGCUUGAAUCCGGGAGAGGGAUGCAGAAUUCCAGGUGUAGCGGUGAAAUGCGUAGAUAUCUGGAGGAAUACCGGUGGCGAAGGCGGAUCUCUGGGCCUGUCCUGACGCUCAGGCGCGAAAGCUAGGGGAGCAAACAGG
RNAcentral lists this ribosomal RNA (253 nucleotides) under uncultured bacterium. RNAcentral describes it as "partial 16S ribosomal RNA". It matches the Rfam family "Bacterial small subunit ribosomal RNA", at positions 524 to 776 of the family's 1533-position model. The record is from RNAcentral.